RNAcentral lists this ribosomal RNA (376 nucleotides) under uncultured Actinomycetes bacterium. RNAcentral's name for it is "bacterial SSU rRNA". It matches the Rfam family "Bacterial small subunit ribosomal RNA", at positions 1073 to 1446 of the family's 1533-position model. Lineage: Bacteria; Bacillati; Actinomycetota; Actinomycetes. The record is from RNAcentral.
UGUUGGGUUAAGUCCCGCAACGAGCGCAACCCUCGUUCUAUGUUGCCAGCACGUAAUGGUGGGAACUCAUGGGAUACUGCCGGGGUCAACUCGGAGGAAGGUGGGGAUGACGUCAAAUCAUCAUGCCCCUUAUGUCUUGGGCUUCACGCAUGCUACAAUGGCCGGUACAAAGGGCUGCAAUACCGUAAGGUGGAGCGAAUCCCAAAAAGCCGGUCCCAGUUCGGAUUGAGGUCUGCAACUCGACCUCAUGAAGUUGGAGUCGCUAGUAAUCGCAGAUCAGCAACGCUGCGGUGAAUACGUUCCCGGGUCUUGUACACACCGCCCGUCAAGUCAUGAAAGUCGGUAACACCUGAAGCCGGUGGCCCAACCCUUUUGG